Molecule: long non-coding RNA, 1592 nt
Organism: Tetranychus urticae (two-spotted spider mite)
Lineage: Eukaryota; Metazoa; Arthropoda; Arachnida; Trombidiformes; Tetranychidae
Source: RefSeq, a predicted model, not a curated record
UAUUAAAGAAGCUAAAAUUAAUCAAGUCUUGAAUUUUUCAAUUAGACAAUUUGAUUGAUUUUGAAUAUUUAAUUUAUUUAAUUUAUUAAUGCUAAGGUUAUUAAGUUGAAUCUGUUUCAUCCUCAAGUUCAUCAUCAACCUAAAACUAAAUUAUAAACCUUGAAAAGUUGCUCUUGCUCUUUGUGUUUUCUCGCUUAUCUUUUGACUUUUUUAGCGUUUACUGUAUUCAUAUUUAUGAUACUCAGUGUUCAUGUUUUCAACUGAGCUGCUUGUCAAGUGAAAAAAUGCCAUUUGACUUGGUAAACCUUUUUUUUCUUGGAUCAAGUUUGGUGAAGAUUGAGUCGUCUUUAAAAUGAUUCCAAUUUAUUAUUAUUUGGAUGGUGAUGACAAAAAGAAAAACGUUUUUGCUGCUUUCAAAAGAAAGAAUGUUUAAUUCAAAGGAGAAAGGCGAAGAAAAAAAGAUAUUUCAAUGUUUAUGUCUUAAAGAAAAGCGGAGAAAAUAAAAGAAGUAAAUAACUGCUAAGGAGGAAAAGAAAUGGUGACAAAGAAGAAUCUUUUGUAGAUUGGAUAAGUAGUAUAAAUCAACUGAACUCUUUGUCAAUGAGAUGCCACCAAAAACAAGUAACAUUCACUUCAAUGUCCUUCCUUUUGUAUUACAUAGUAAAUGUAAAGUUAAUUUAUCAGUCAGCUCAUGAUAACUUUUUCAACUACUUACUGAAUCAUACCCAACUACAUUAACCUGUUUACAGUUUCAACUCAACAAGCCACCCAAUUGACCGGAUAAAGUUUACUCAAUCAUGAUACGAUUGACCUUUAACCUUGUCCAGAUGCAUUUCUUCCGAUUCCCCAAUUGAUCUGCAUUCAAAGUUGAUUGUUAUACUUGCAAAAUAUUUGACGUCUCACUACAAUUCAAAUGAACAAGACUUGAUAUUUGUUUAAUUGUCAAUCAACAUCCAAUGCCAUCAUUAGCAUCAAAAUCACAAUAAACAUUUGUGACAUCAUUUAAAUUUCAUUCAAGGUUGACAAUGACAAAUUGUUUGGUAAAAAUUUUGCUCAUCACAAACGGAAAAAUCUUAAUAAAAUUAACAAUUAGCUGCAAAUUGUUGUGAAUGUAAUAGCUAAGAAGCACAGAAGCUAAGAGGAUCACUUGAUUGACUUUUGACUGUUUACACUGUUUACAGCUCCAAUAAUUAAGUUAAUUACAAAUGCAUGUUUAAAAGGCAAAAUUGUUGCAAUUGGAGAAGCUAAAAAUGGCUGUUAACAAUCAUCACCAUUAUACUGGAUAACAAUCAAUCGAUUGUGCAAAUUUGUGUUCAAAAAUUACACGAAUUAACAUUAAACAUUUCAACUAAAUGUCAAGCAUUGAUGCCCAGUAAAAUGUCUCAUGUUUACUUGUAAUCUUGAGGCUAAUGGAUUUUUGAUUAACUAGAUACAAUUUGAUACUUUAUUUUUGCCUCAUAAAUUAUCAUCAAUCCAGAAAGAAAUGAAUUAACCAUUGGCAACAGUUUAAUCAUAAACAACCAGAUGAUAUGUAAAGCGAUACUGGAAAGGUCAGAUGGCGAGCUAAAAAUUAAAGAUUUGUUGCUUCAACA